AGCAGCCGCGGUAAUUCCAGCUCCAAUAGCGUAUAUUAAAGUUGUUGCAGUUAAAAAGCUCGUAGUUGAAUUUCGGGAUUGGCGCAUCGGUCGUGCCUCACGGGGUAUGAACUGGUGCAGUCAAUUUCUCACCUUCUGGAGAACCGCGAUGUCCUUAAUUGGAUGCCGCGGGGAACCAGGACCUUUACUCUGAAAAAUUAGAGUGUUUAAAGCAGGCAUUUUUGCUUGAAUACAUUAGCAUGGAAUAAUAAAAUAGGACGGCAUGGUUCUAUUUUGUUGGUUUCUAGGACCACCGUAAUGAUUAAUAGGGAUAGUUGGGGGCAUUAGUAUUCAAUUGUCAGAGGUGAAAUUCUUGGAUUUAUUGAAGACUAACUACUGCGAAAGCCAUUUGCCAAGGAUGUUUUCAUUAAUCAAGAACGAAAGUUAGGGGAUCGAGACGAUCAGAUACCGUCGUAGUCUUAACCAAUAAACUAUGCCGAC
This 480-nucleotide ribosomal RNA is filed under the name uncultured Entrophospora. RNAcentral describes it as "SSU rRNA". It matches the Rfam family "Eukaryotic small subunit ribosomal RNA", at positions 569 to 1046 of the family's 1831-position model. The record is from RNAcentral. Lineage: Eukaryota; Fungi; Glomeromycota; Glomeromycetes; Entrophosporales; Entrophosporaceae.